ACAAACACCGCUCGACAGAGCAGAGGCGGGAGGGGGGGUGUAGAAAGAGAAGACAUUUACACCUCUCACAGCCUCCGUCAAAGAAAAACAGCGAGAAAAGACAUUUGGUGGACAGUACUCAACCAGACCAUACAUCGUGUGUACGUUUGAUCAAAUUGUGCAGGUGAGAAUCGACAUUUGAAACGGUUGGGUUGUCGUGGUGUAUGGUUGAAGACCGAAAAAGGACACCGAAAAUUGGAUCAACAUCAACUUAAUAUGGAAUUUCCGAUGGCCCAAGAGACGAACCCGAGCCUGACGCCUGUGCUUUGUGCCACUGGCUGUGGUUUCUAUGGCAACCCCAGAAACAACGGCAUGUGCUCGGUCUGCUACAAGGAGCAUCUGAACCGACAGCAGAGUAGUGACUGCAGCUUAAGCCAACUUAGCCCAAUGGGAGCAGUCGGUAGUCCUACCUCUGAGGCCUCAGCCAUCCAGAGGCUAGAGGCCAGUCUUGCCAAAGUAGACCCUUCAUCCGGCUCUGCUACAGACAUGGCUAGAACUAUUCAAGGCUCUCUUCCAGUGACUCAACAAAUGACCGAGAUGAGCAUCUCAAGAGAGGAUAACCCAGAUUCCCUAGAGCCUGUUGUGAGUCAGCCUACUGCGUCUAGCCCCGUCAAGGCCAGCGGCGACGAGGCCAAGGAGGACACCCCAAGCCCAAGAAGAAUAAGUGCUUCAUGUGCCGCAAGAGGGUGGGCCUCACAGGGUUCGACUGUCGCUGUGGGAACCUGUUCUGUGGUGUCCAUCGGUACUCCGACAAGCACAACUGUCCUUACGACUACAAGGCUGAGGCAGCUGCCAAGAUCCGCAAGGAGAACCCUGUUGUGGUCGCUGACAAGAUCCAGAGAAUAUAGGCUUAAGAACCAUCCACACAGAGACUAGAGUAUGAUGUCGAACCCUUGACAUGAACACUGGCACGAGUGGCAAAAGGAUGUCAUUUUUAAAGUCACAACCUUGAGAAAGGACAGAGAUCCUGCCCGUUGGGGAGAUGCAUGAACGGUCACUUUUUUGUUACGUUUAUUAUAAUUUUUUUCCCUCUUUGCUGAUAUUCUGUAUAUAUAUAUAAAAAAAAGAUUUUAAAAGAGCAGCCCAGGGUAACUUUCCAGGAGAGACGUAUCUGUUCUGCAGAACCUAUAUCUAUCUGGACGUUCUAUCCCAAAUAUGGCCCGUGAGCUGUUUGGCCACUUUGUUGUCAAAUAGCCAACAGCUAUUCUUUUCUAAAGUUGUGUGCACAUGCAGUAUCCCGACGGGUUCAGUUGAAUCUCCAUUUCUACGUUCCGUUCCCAUUAGUGUCAGUCGGGUCAGUUGUCAGAUAGGUAUGACUAUCUCCCAAAAUGCUCUCCCAAAAUGCAGGUGGGCUUUUAUCCCCCAGACUGUGACCUGCCUACCACAGCAGCAGGUCAUGUUUCUCCUCAUCACAAUGUCCACGUGAAGCUUUUUCCUUAUCGUCUCCCCUUACAAUCACUUCAUUAUUUCCAGAGGAAUGGGUUACCUCUGACAUUUUUAAAGCAGUCCUUAGGCACUAUUUCUGUUUGAUCACCCGAACGCCGUGGCCCGUCUUUAUGGUCAUUGUAAGAGGUGUGAGAAGGAGUACAAAAACACAUUUUUACCAACUAUCAUGUGGGACAGGACUUUUAGUCAAGGAGAUCCUAGACUAAUCUAAGGUCAGAAUCUCCCAACUGUGGUCUCGGCAGAGGCUUGCGUGCAUUGACCCUGGUGCAGUUCUCUGGGUGAGACUUAGGCACUACCCAUCUGUUUUUAUUGGCUAUAUGGGGGAGGUGAAUGGGAGAGCAACCCCAUGCAGUAAUAUCUUAAAUCAUGUAAAAUAUCUGAAUGAAUUGUUUGGUCAUUAUUGUAUCUGCUGAGAGACAUGUUUAAUCCCUGUUUUUUAUAUACAUUAACAUAGUACUGAUAUUAGCACAUGUAUUCAGUGCAGUUGUGAAGUUAGGGUAUAUGAGACAGCCUUGCUUUGUGUUGAUUUUGGUGUGCGUGUUCAGUGAGUUUGAGUGAACACAUGGGUGUCAGAUUGUGUGAAGCAAAAUAUCCCGUAGCUCUGCACAUGUUUCCAAGGCUACAGGAGCAUGGCAGAACUGAGAUUUUGAUAACUAGAUUCCAGAGUUGGAUUCCAACGGAUCUUUUCAGCUUUCUUUCCCUUAUUGGUCUGUGUGACUGAUCUAGAGCAGCGCGUGUGUGUGUGAGACUAUCCUUGGCUGUGUGAAACAUUGAUACAAGUGUGUCCUGUGUAGAUUUUUCUUCUCCCAUAGGGAUGAGGUUUUUACCCUUAAAAACAAAGGUAUCCAUUUCAGUUUUUUCCUUUUAGUUAUGCAAAUUUGUACAAAAAAAAACGGAUAUUUAUGAAUGACAUAAUCUUGCUACCCAGCAUUACAGCAUAAUUGUAUCAUGUAAAUAAAGACUGUGUACAGAGACA
Oncorhynchus gorbuscha (pink salmon) is the source of this 2461-nucleotide RNA transcript. It is a transcript of the gene named AN1-type zinc finger protein 5-like, with no coding region annotated. The transcript is spliced from 6 exons. Lineage: Eukaryota; Metazoa; Chordata; Actinopteri; Salmoniformes; Salmonidae. The record is from RefSeq and is a predicted model, not a curated record.